RNAcentral lists this long non-coding RNA (1154 nucleotides) under Homo sapiens (human). RNAcentral describes it as "HSALNT0133813". The record is from RNAcentral. Lineage: Eukaryota; Metazoa; Chordata; Mammalia; Primates; Hominidae.
AAGUGGGACAGAUGGAAGAAAGAAAGUGGCGACUGUUUAUCCCUCACUCCUCUUCUCCAGCCCCCACCCCAGUAACAAAUCCAGAAACCCCAAACUCUGAGGGGCCACAGUUACUGUUUUGUGUGUUUGUGCAAUUGGGCAGCUGCCUCUACCCUAUCAAAACGUGCAGGGGAGACGAUUCCCAUAAAAGCGGAGGAAGAUGUUACAAGUCCAGCCCCAUGGGACCAUGCCUGACGGCAGAGCCAAGACGCUGGGAGUUCAGCACAAUAGGGUGCCUCCACACCACGCUAUCUGGGGUGAGCUUUCUGCCCAAAGGAGGAAAUAAGAACAGCUGCUAUCAAUUGCAGACCACUCACCAGGGGCCAGACACCAUGCUAAAUGCUUUAGUUGCAUUAUCUCCUUAACUCUUGAUACCACCACUACCCACGCCCUCCAGGGAGCUAUAAUUCUCUCUAAUAAAGGCAGAGAGCAGUGAAGUGACUUGGUCCAGUUAACACAGAUAGCAAGAAGAGGAGGGAAGAUGCUUAUCAGAGCCUUCAGGGAAAAGCAAAACUGUCCUGUAGAAGCACCAGGAAGAUGUCCAACAGUGCUGUAGCUGAAACCUGGGAGAUGGGGACUAAGCUGGGAAGCUGGACUGCCCUGAUUGAGUGUUGAUCUUCACCCUUGAUGGAGAGAGCCAUAUUCUUAGUUGGCCCUCAGCUUCAUGGCUAAACACUGUGGGUUAAGCAUCCAGGGUUUGUUAAGGAGAAAUGCUUUGUACCUGUUUUUGAUAUUUCCUUCCAUGUGAUGUGUGGCUUUCCUGAUUUGCAUUUCCUCACAGGAGGGUUUCUUGGGGUACUUUUCCACAGACUCACAUUUUCCACCACAUUUUCCAACCUAGUCUUUGUGAAUAAUAAAUGUGGAGUUUUGAUUUUUCUUGCACCUCCAUUGUUUCUUUAUCUUAUUGAUCAAUUGAUUCUGAGUGCAAAGUAAAAAAAAAAAAUGGUGUUUUUUAACGCCCAAAAGACCAUCAUCUUCAAACUGCAUGUAGUUCACAAGGUCUAUUUCAGGUGCUUACACUAACAUAUGUACCUAUGAGAAUUAUAUUAAUAUAGUACACAAUGUAUAAUAAGUACAUAUAUACAUGAAAUUACAAAUAUAUAAGUCUAUAUAAA